This 74-nucleotide transfer RNA is filed under the name Bradymonadaceae bacterium TMQ3. Its description in RNAcentral is "tRNA-Arg". It matches the Rfam family "tRNA". From Rfam's summary of the family: Transfer RNA (tRNA) molecules are approximately 80 nucleotides in length. Their secondary structure includes four short double-helical elements and three loops (D, anti-codon, and T loops). Further hydrogen bonds mediate the characteristic L-shaped molecular structure. tRNAs have two regions of fundamental functional importance: the anti-codon, which is responsible for specific mRNA codon recognition, and the 3' end, to which the tRNAs corresponding amino acid is attached (by aminoacyl-tRNA synthetases). tRNAs cope with the degeneracy of the genetic code in two manners: having more than one tRNA (with a specific anti-codon) for a particular amino acid; and 'wobble' base-pairing, i.e. permitting non-standard base-pairing at the 3rd anti-codon position. RNAcentral also lists the same sequence under 2 other names. Lineage: Bacteria; Deltaproteobacteria; Bradymonadales; Bradymonadaceae. The record is from RNAcentral.
GACCCCGUAGCUCAGUUGGAUAGAGCGAUGGAUUCCUAAUCCAUAGGUCACAGGUUCAAUUCCUGUCGGGGUCA